CUAACUACGUGCCAGCAGCCGCGGUAAUACGUAGGGUGCGAGCGUUGUCCGGAAUUACUGGGCGUAAAGAGCUCGUAGGUGGUUUGUCGCGUCGUCUGUGAAAUUCCGGGGCUUAACCUCGGGCGUGCAGGCGAUACGGGCAAUACUUGAGUGCUGUAGGGGAGACUGGAAUUCCUGGUGUAGCGGUGGAAUGCGCAGAUAUCAGGAGGAACACCGAUGGCGAAGGCAGGUCUCUGGGCAGUAACUGACGCUGAGGAGCGAAAGCAUGGGUAGCGAACAGGAUUAGAUACCCUGGUAGUCCAUGCCGUAAACGGUGGGCGCUAGGUGUAGGGGUCUUCCACGACUUCUGUGCCGUAGCUAACGCAUUAAGCGCCCCGCCUGGGGAGUACGGCCGCAAGGCUAAAACUCAAAGGAAUUGACGGGGGCCCGCACAAGCGGCGGAGCAUGUGGAUUAAUUCGAUGCAACGCGAAGAACCUUACCUGGGCUUGACAUACACCGGACCGGGCCAGAGAUGGCCUUUCCCUUGUGGCUGGUGUACAGGUGGUGCAUGGUUGUCGUCAGCUCGUGUCGUGAGAUGUUGGGUUAAGUCCCGCAACGAGCGCAACCCUUGUCUUAUGUUGCCAGCACGUAGUGGUGGGGACUCAUGAGAGACUGCCGGGGUCAACUCGGAGGAAGGUGGGGAUGACGUCAAAUCAUCAUGCCCCUUAUGUCCAGGGCUUCACACAUGCUACAAUGGUCGGUACAACGCGUUGCGACACUGUGAGGUGGAGCUAAUCGCUGAAAGCCGGCCUCAGUUCGGAUUGGGGUCUGCAACUCGACCCCAUGAAGUCGGAGUCGCUAGUAAUCGCAGAUCAGCAACGCUGCGGUGAAUACGUUCCCGGGCCUUGUACACACCGCCCGU
RNAcentral lists this ribosomal RNA (902 nucleotides) under uncultured bacterium. RNAcentral describes it as "bacterial SSU rRNA". It matches the Rfam family "Bacterial small subunit ribosomal RNA", at positions 497 to 1397 of the family's 1533-position model. The record is from RNAcentral.